Molecule: long non-coding RNA, 1120 nt
Organism: Mus musculus (house mouse)
Lineage: Eukaryota; Metazoa; Chordata; Mammalia; Rodentia; Muridae
Product: predicted gene 20485
Exons: 2
Source: RefSeq, a predicted model, not a curated record
GGAUUCUAGGCAGAUGCUCUACCACUGAGCCACGCCCCCAGCCCCUCACUGGGAGAUUCCCAGAAAGUUCUUGACCACUGAGUCAUGUUCUAGCCAUAGCAGUUCCUUAUUAAUUCAGUUUCAGUGGAAGGAACUCCGCUGUGUUCACUCUUCAGACUGAGUUGUGCAGAACACUGAUGAACUCAUGGGGCUAGAAAUGAAUUUCAGGAGCCGGGAGCCAUGACACCCGGACAGUAUGAGGAUCUACCUAGACCUUUGCAGGAAAAACAGCUCACAUCUACUUUUGUUUAAAAAAAAAAAAAAUCUCUUUCCAUAAAAGCGAUAGUACUGGAAGUUGUCUGCCUGCUAGUUCUGGUCCUGGAACAGCUGCACAUGGGGACAGCUGUCUCAGCUUCAGGACACAGGAUCUACAGGAGAUUAAUAACAGAGCUCAGCCAAGCCCAUGGGGAGCAGAGCCGGCUAAGGUUACCUUGCACCAGGAAGUGUGCCUGCCCUGCUGACAGCGGGUGGGGAGCCUGCAGGAUGGAUGGGAUCUUGGGGCGCCAGGGGGUGGCUGGGCAAGACGGCCCACUGGCUGGCCCUGCCAAACCCACCUCCCACCCCUUGAGAUGCAAAUUGAUUCUCCCAAGAGCCUCUGGCUUCCUCUGGACCUGAAACCCUGCAAGAGCUGGUCUCUGAGAAUUCUGUGAGGAGCCAGAAAUGGAAGCCAAAUGUUGGUGUCAGGUAGAGGAAGCUGGUGGGUGUCUGUGGCUCAGCAGGCUAGGCAGCUGUGAGGGCGCAGGCUCCUGGGGCCAGGACAGAUGUGUAGGACCUGGUUUUGUCUGGGCUGUCAGUUUUUCCAGGGCAGGGGCCAUGACCCACCCUGAGGCCCGGAGGACCCUGUGCAGCAUCAGCCAACGUCCUGUUGAGUGAUGGCAGGGCCCAGGAAAUUUCCAGAGCGAAGGGGAGCCACAUCUUCUCCAUCGGGUCCUUUCAGAUCUUCCCUGAGACUUGGGAAAGGGGCAGUCUUUGCAUCUGGACUCUAUAUUUACACGUUUUCGAGGCCUACGGAAUUCUGCAGACUUAAGUUUGGAACACAAAAGCUCACUUCUGUAGUUUUAAGAUUAAAAAGUAAAACCCA